Molecule: long non-coding RNA, 510 nt
Organism: Vanessa atalanta (red admiral)
Lineage: Eukaryota; Metazoa; Arthropoda; Insecta; Lepidoptera; Nymphalidae
Exons: 3
Source: RefSeq, a predicted model, not a curated record
ACAUUUAAAUGCGUGCGCGAGUUUGUAUAACAUCUACAUUCAGAGGUCAAUGCAGGACACCGAUAAUUUUUUAAAUGUUCAUAAUAUAUCGAAUCAUGGAAAAUAAUUCUUGGCACACAAUAAAGAUCUCUCACGACAAUCACGUGCCAAACUGCGCCUGAAUACAGCACUGAGAAGUCAUUAAGCCGUUUCAGAACAAGCCGUGACUUGUCGAUGGGCUUUUAGAGGCAGACUGUAAAAGCGGAAAUGAAAUUUCAAGACGAACAAUGAUCGAAACGUCUGAUAACUCCAAAGACUGGCUAAACUGGUUAAACGAGCUAUUAAUUCUUGAGCUUACCAGAGACCUGAACAUUACAAAAACGAUUUCCUCGUCUUCCGAAAACACGUCAACGGAAGACAGAUCGUGGUACUGGUCAUUUGGAAGAACGAAAAAGUGCUGUUUCAAGCAACCACAUGUAUUUUUCAACCCUGACACUGGCAGAAUUGUCAACCUAUUGACAGAAGCCAUAA